This 31-nucleotide non-coding RNA is filed under the name Rattus norvegicus (Norway rat). Lineage: Eukaryota; Metazoa; Chordata; Mammalia; Rodentia; Muridae. The record is from RNAcentral.
UGUUGUCCUUCAACAAGUUCUUACUUGCAGA